UAGUAAUCCAAUGUAUUAUCAACAAUACAAUGGACCAUUGAAUUAUGAGCUUGAUAGCAGUAAUGGAUUAAUACCAUUGGAACAUAAUGACUAUCCACUGAUAUCAGUUGUAGUAGUCAGUGUUCCAGCAUCAUUAACAACAGAUACAAUGAUACCUUGCACAACAAGUACCAGCAGUACCACAAUUCCAGGAACACCAGCUGCUACUAGAAGUACAGUCAUUUCUUCCAUGAGUGGCUUAUCAAUUACUACUAACAUAAAUACUCUUCUUGUCUCAUCAGGUAGCUAU
Molecule: long non-coding RNA, 289 nt
Organism: Amphimedon queenslandica
Lineage: Eukaryota; Metazoa; Porifera; Demospongiae; Haplosclerida; Niphatidae
Exons: 3
Source: RefSeq, a predicted model, not a curated record